RNAcentral lists this ribosomal RNA (489 nucleotides) under uncultured bacterium. Its description in RNAcentral is "bacterial LSU rRNA". It matches the Rfam family "Bacterial large subunit ribosomal RNA", at positions 296 to 784 of the family's 2925-position model. The record is from RNAcentral.
UAGGACCAUAACGUGAGACUAGAGAGGAUAGAUGAAAUACUUGGAAAAGUGUAGCAUAGAAGGUGAAACUCCUGUAAUUUAAAUUCUCAAUAGCUCUAUUGGUAUCCUAGAGUAGGUCGGAACACGUGAUAUUUUGACUGAAACUGGGGGACCUACCCUCCAAUCCUAAAUACUACUUACAGAUCGAUAGUGAACAAGUACCGUGAGGGAAAGGUGAAAAGUACUCCAGCGAGGAGAGUGAAAAUAGAACCUGAAACCAUUAGCUUACAAUCAUUCAGAGCCCUAUGAUUUAUCAGGGUGAUGGACUGCCUUUUGCAUAAUGAGCCUGCGAGUUGUGGUAUCUGGCAAGGUUAAGUCAAGUACGAAGCCGUAGCGAAAGCGAGUCUUAAUAGGGCGAUUUUAGUCAGAUGCUGCAGACCCGAAACGAAGUGAUCUAUCCAUGAAGCAGGUUGAAGCUGGUGUAAGAGCCAGUGGAGGACCGAACCCGCA